Molecule: long non-coding RNA, 508 nt
Organism: Drosophila sechellia
Lineage: Eukaryota; Metazoa; Arthropoda; Insecta; Diptera; Drosophilidae
Exons: 2
Source: RefSeq, a predicted model, not a curated record
UUUAAACCAGCUAUCCCAGAUAUAUUAAAAGGAAAUUAUAUGGAUCGUGUAGUAAAACACAUGAUUCCUUUACCGAACAUUGUAAUUAUCCCAUUAAAUGCAUCGAUCGGCGAUAUAACCUGAUCUUAAUGCGAGUACAGCUGAUAUAUAUCUACAUCCCGAAUGACCUCAGACGAGUCAAUGCUUCCUGAGAGCGAAAAUAUCCGUGAAAAAAAAUAAUUAUUGCUCACAAAGGAACCUGUUCCGCGAUAAAAAUCUACCCAGGCACAAUCGUAAGAACCGGGGAAGCUGACAGAUCUGACGGGUUUCUAUGCAGAUGAUGUCUCGUUUCGAUAUCUGCUGGGACGUGUAAAUAAUUAAUUACACAAUAUUCCCGCAUUGAAGGCGAAAGAAAUAAAUGAAGACAAGAACAUCUAAUCAAGCUGAAGUAUUUUAUUAUAUGUAGGAAUUACUUUUGUUUUAAGUUUUUGCCUUGGAAGUUUCUAAAUAAAUAGCCCUCAGUCACGAA